AUUGAACGCUGGCGGCAGGCCUAACACAUGCAAGUCGAACGGUAACAGGAAACAGCUUGCUGUUUCGCUGACGAGUGGCGGACGGGUGAGUAAUGUCUGGGAAACUGCCUGAUGGAGGGGGAUAACUACUGGAAACGGUAGCUAAUACCGCAUCACGUCGCAAGACCAAAGAGGGGGACCUUCGGGCCUCUUGCCAUCGGAUGUGCCCAGAUGGGAUUAGCUAGUAGGUGGGGUAACGGCUCACCUAGGCGACGAUCCCUAGCUGGUCUGAGAGGAUGACCAGCCACACUGGAACUGAGACACGGUCCAGACUCCUACGGGAGGCAGCAGUGGGGAAUAUUGCACAAUGGGCGCAGGCCUGAUGCAGCCAUGCCGCAUGUAUGAAGAAGGCCUUCGGGUUGUAAAGUACUUUCAGCGGGGAGGAAGGGAGUAAAGUUAAUACCUUUGCUCAUUGACGUUACCCGCAGAAGAAGCACCGGCUAACUCCGUGCCAGCAGCCGCAGUAA
This 506-nucleotide ribosomal RNA is filed under the name uncultured bacterium. RNAcentral's name for it is "partial 16S ribosomal RNA". It matches the Rfam family "Bacterial small subunit ribosomal RNA", at positions 30 to 523 of the family's 1533-position model. The record is from RNAcentral.